GACGAACGCUGGCGGCGUGCUUAACACAUGCAAGUCGAACGGAAAGGCCCUGCUUUUGUGGGGUGCUCGAGUGGCGAACGGGUGAGUAACACGUGAGUAACCUGCCCUUGACUUUGGGAUAACUUCAGGAAACUGGGGCUAAUACCGGAUAGGAGCUCCUGCUGCAUGGUGGGGGUUGGAAAGUUUCGGCGGUUGGGGAUGGACUCGCGGCUUAUCAGCUUGUUGGUGGGGUAGUGGCUUACCAAGGCUUUGACGGGUAGCCGGCCUGAGAGGGUGACCAGCCACAUUGGGACUGAGAUACGGCCCAGACUCCUACGGGAGGCAGCAGUGGGGAAUAUUGCACAAUGGGCGGAAGCCUGAUGCAGCAACGCCGCGUGCGGGAUGACGGCCUUCGGGUUGUAAACCGCUUUCGCCUGUGACGAAGCGUUAGUGACGGUAAUGGGUAAAGAAGCACCGGCUAACUACGUG
Molecule: ribosomal RNA, 468 nt
Filed under: uncultured bacterium
Lineage: Bacteria
Description: partial 16S ribosomal RNA
Rfam family: Bacterial small subunit ribosomal RNA
Source: RNAcentral